GGACCUCCGAUCAAGUAAGA
Molecule: ribosomal RNA, 20 nt
Filed under: Heterococcus caespitosus
Lineage: Eukaryota; Xanthophyceae; Tribonematales; Heteropediaceae
Also listed under: 13 other names
Description: partial 26S ribosomal RNA
Source: RNAcentral